This 553-nucleotide long non-coding RNA is filed under the name Rattus norvegicus (Norway rat). RNAcentral's name for it is "long non-coding RNA NONRATT029750". The record is from RNAcentral. Lineage: Eukaryota; Metazoa; Chordata; Mammalia; Rodentia; Muridae.
ACGCAUCACUUUACCGCUUGAUGCCUGCAAUUUGUCAGAGUUAUGCGAGAUGGCAAAGCAUUUGCCUUCCUUGAAUGACAUGGAGCUUCAAACGCUACAGUUGAUGGGAGAUGAUGUGUUUGUUACAGAGCUGGACUUAUCUUCACGGAUCAUUGAAAACAACUCUAGCUUUUCCAAAAUGAUCACUUUAAUGGGACAGAGAUAUCUGCUGCCACCAAAAAGCAGCUUUCUUUUGUCUGACAUUUCUUGUAUGCAGCCACUUCUUAACUGUAAGUAGUUUAUGUGUUUUAGAACAAGGUAAUUUUUCUCUUGUCUCAGAAGUUAAGAGUAUGAACUUUGAAUGUAAGUUCAGUUUUAACGCUGACUUUUGCUCUGUUGUUUAUCUUUAAGAGAGUCUUGUUAAGUAGCUCAGUCAGGCUUUGAACUUGCUGUUCAUCCCAGGCCUUGGUAUGUCAAUUUUGCCUUAGCUUUUUAGGUGCUAAGAUUACAGGUUCAGAACUCAGAGGUUCAGAGUUACAGUGUCUUUGAAUAAAUCCCAUAACUCUUUUGUGGU